GUCCACACCGUAAACGAUGAAUGCUAGGUGUGGGGCGCAAGCCUCCGUGCCGCAGUUAACACAAUAAGCAUUCCACCUGGGGAGUACGGCCGCAAGGUUGAAACUCAAAGGAAUUGACGGGAGCCCGCACAAGCAGUGGAGUAUGUGGUUUAAUUCGACGCAACGCGAAGAACCUUACCAGGACUUGACAUCCCAAGAAGUCGACGUAAUGGUUGAUGUGCCCUUCGGGGAACUUGGUGACAGGUGGUGCAUGGUUGUCGU
Molecule: ribosomal RNA, 261 nt
Filed under: uncultured bacterium
Lineage: Bacteria
Description: partial 16S ribosomal RNA
Rfam family: Bacterial small subunit ribosomal RNA
Source: RNAcentral